ACGAACGCUGGCGGCAUGCCUAACACAUGCAAGUCGAACGAGACCUUCGGGUCUAGUGGCGCACGGGUGCGUAACGCGUGGGAAUCUGCCCUUAGGUACGGAAUAACUCAGGGAAACUUGAGCUAAUACCAUAUAAUGACUCCGGUCCAAAGAUUUAUCGCCUAAGGAUGAGCCCGCGUAGGAUUAGCUAGUUGGUGAGGUAAAAGCUCACCAAGGCGACGAUCCUUAGCUGGUCNGAGAGGAUGAUCAGCCACACUGGGACUGAGACACGGCCCAGACUCCUACGGGAGGCAGCAGUGGGGAAUAUUGGACAAUGGGCGAAAGACCUGAUCCAGCAAUGCCGCGUGAGUGAUGAAGGCCUUAGGGUUGUAAAGCUCUUUUACCCGGGAUGAUAAUGACAGUACCGGGAG
This 410-nucleotide ribosomal RNA is filed under the name uncultured bacterium. RNAcentral describes it as "bacterial SSU rRNA". It matches the Rfam family "Bacterial small subunit ribosomal RNA", at positions 29 to 484 of the family's 1533-position model. The record is from RNAcentral.